Non-coding RNA from Pelobates cultripes (western spadefoot toad), 69 nucleotides. The record is from the annotation of a GenBank genome assembly. NCBI's taxonomy places the organism in Eukaryota, Metazoa, Chordata, Amphibia, Anura, Pelobatidae.
CUGGAAGUGAUGCAGAUAUAUUGUGUGAAGUUUUCUGAUGAUUCUUUCUAUUCAUACUGUCUGAUCCAG